GAUGAACGCUGGCGGCGUGCCUAAUACAUGCAAGUCGAGCGAACAGACGAGGAGCUUGCUCCUCUGACGUUAGCGGCGGACGGGUGAGUAACACGUGGAUAACCUACCUAUAAGACUGGGAUAACUUCGGGAAACCGGAGCUAAUACCGGAUAAUAUAUUGAACCGCAUGGUUCAAUAGUGAAAGACGGUUUUGCUGUCACUUAUAGAUGGAUCCGCGCCGCAUUAGCUAGUUGGUAAGGUAACGGCUUACCAAGGCAACGAUGCGUAGCCGACCUGAGAGGGUGAUCGGCCGCACUGGAACUGAGACACGGUCCAGACUCCUACGGGAGGCAGCAGUAGGGAAUCUUCCGCAAUGGGCGAAAGCCUGACGGAGCAACGCCGCGUGAGUGAUGAAGGUCUUCGGAUCGUAAAACUCUGAUAUUAGGGAAGAACAAAUGUGUAAGUAACUAUGCACGUCUUGACGGUACCUAAUCAGAAAGCCACGGCUAACUACGUG
Molecule: ribosomal RNA, 497 nt
Filed under: uncultured bacterium
Lineage: Bacteria
Description: partial 16S ribosomal RNA
Rfam family: Bacterial small subunit ribosomal RNA
Source: RNAcentral